RNAcentral lists this ribosomal RNA (497 nucleotides) under uncultured bacterium. RNAcentral describes it as "partial 16S ribosomal RNA". It matches the Rfam family "Bacterial small subunit ribosomal RNA", at positions 28 to 507 of the family's 1533-position model. The record is from RNAcentral.
GAUGAACGCUGGCGGCGUGCCUAAUACAUGCAAGUCGAGCGAACGGACGAGAAGCUUGCUUCUCUGAUGUUAGCGGCGGACGGGUGAGUAACACGUGGAUAACCUACCUAUAAGACUGGGAUAACUUCGGGAAACCGGAGCUAAUACCGGAUAAUAUUUUGAACCGCAUGGUUCAAAAGUGAAAGACGGUCUUGCUGUCACUUAUAGAUGGAUCCGCGCUGCAUUAGCUAGUUGGUAAGGUAACGGCUUACCAAGGCAACGAUGCAUAGCCGACCUGAGAGGGUGAUCGGACACACUGGAACUGAGACACGGUCCAGACUCCUACGGGAGGAAGCAGUAGGGAAUCUUCCGCAAUGGGCGAAAGCCUGACGGAGCAACGCCGCGUGAGUGAUGAAGGUCUUCGGAUCGUAAAACUCUGUUAUUAGGGAAGAACAUAUGUGUAAGUAACUGUGCACAUCUUGACGGUACCUAAUCAGAAAGCCACGGCUAACUACGUG